Molecule: transfer RNA, 73 nt
Filed under: Streptomyces phage Coruscant
Lineage: Duplodnaviria; Heunggongvirae; Uroviricota; Caudoviricetes; Stanwilliamsviridae
Description: tRNA-Asn
Rfam family: tRNA
About the family: Transfer RNA (tRNA) molecules are approximately 80 nucleotides in length.
Source: RNAcentral
UGGCCUAUAGCUUAACGGCAGAGUAAUCGGUUGUUACCCGAUUUGGUGCUGGUUCGAAUCCAGCUAGGUCAGC